GAUGAAGCGUUGAAUUGAAGCCCGAGUAAACGGCGGCCGUAACUAUAACGGUCCUAAGGUAGCGAAAUUCCUUGUCGGUUAAAUACCGACCUGCAUGAAUGGCGUAACGAGAUGGGAGCUGUCUCAACCAGAGAUUCAGUGAAAUUGUAGUGGAGGUGAAAAUUCCUCCUACCCGCGGCAAGACGGAAAGACCCCGUGGACCUUUACUACAACUUAGCACUGCUAACGGGAAUAUCAUGCGCAGGAUAGGUGGGAGGCUUUGAAGUAAGGGCUUUGGCCCUUAUGGAGA
RNAcentral lists this ribosomal RNA (289 nucleotides) under Helicobacter pylori. RNAcentral's name for it is "partial 23S ribosomal RNA". It matches the Rfam family "Bacterial large subunit ribosomal RNA", at positions 1898 to 2186 of the family's 2925-position model. The record is from RNAcentral. Lineage: Bacteria; Pseudomonadati; Campylobacterota; Epsilonproteobacteria; Campylobacterales; Helicobacteraceae.